Molecule: ribosomal RNA, 253 nt
Filed under: uncultured bacterium
Lineage: Bacteria
Description: partial 16S ribosomal RNA
Rfam family: Bacterial small subunit ribosomal RNA
Source: RNAcentral
GACAGAGGUGCCGAGCGUUAGGCGGAAUCACUGGGCUUAAAGCGUGUGUAGGCGGGCGGGCAAGUACCUUGUGAAAUCCCACGGCUCAACCGUGGAACGGCUGGGUAUACUGCCUGUCUUGAGCCAACUAGGGGCGAGCGGAACAGACGGUGGAGCGGUGAAAUGCGUAGAUAUCGCUUGGAACGCCAAAGGUGAAAACAGGUUGCUGGGGUUGUGCCGACGCUGAGACACGAAAGCCAGGGGAGCAAACGGG